This 769-nucleotide ribosomal RNA is filed under the name uncultured Pseudomonas sp. RNAcentral's name for it is "partial 16S ribosomal RNA". It matches the Rfam family "Bacterial small subunit ribosomal RNA", at positions 1 to 733 of the family's 1533-position model. Lineage: Bacteria; Pseudomonadati; Pseudomonadota; Gammaproteobacteria; Pseudomonadales; Pseudomonadaceae. The record is from RNAcentral.
CGAUGGGCCGACGUCGCAUGCUCCCGGCCGCCAUGGUUAGUUUGAUCAUGGCUCAGAUUGAACGCUGGCGGCAGGCCUAACACAUGCAAGUCGAGCGGAUGAAAGGAGCUUGCUCCUGGAUUCAGCGGCGGACGGGUGAGUAAUGCCUAGGAAUCUGCCUGGUAGUGGGGGACAACGUUUCGAAAGGAACGCUAAUACCGCAUACGUCCUACGGGAGAAAGCAGGGGACCUUCGGGCCUUGCGCUAUCAGAUGAGCCUAGGUCGGAUUAGCUAGUCGGUGAGGUAAUGGCUCACCAAGGCGACGAUCCGUAACUGGUCUGAGAGGAUGAUCAGUCACACUGGAACUGAGACACGGUCCAGACUCCUACGGGAGGCAGCAGUGGGGAAUAUUGGACAAUGGGCGAAAGCCUGAUCCAGCCAUGCCGCGUGUGUGAAGAAGGUCUUCGGAUUGUAAAGCACUUUAAGUUGGGAGGAAGGGUUGUAGAUUAAUACUCUGCAAUUUUGACGUUACCGACAGAAUAAGCACCGGCUAACUCUGUGCCAGCAGCCGCGGUAAUACAGAGGGUGCAAGCGUUAAUCGGAAUUACUGGGCGUAAAGCGCGCGUAGGUGGUUUGUUAAGUUGGAUGUGAAAUCCCCGGGCUCAACCUGGGAACUGCAUCCAAAACUGGCAAGCUAGAGUAUGGUAGAGGGGGGGGUGGAAUUUCCUGUGUAGCGGUGAAAUGCGUAGAUAUAGGGAAGGAACACCAGUGGCGAAAGCGACCACCUGGA